This 212-nucleotide long non-coding RNA is filed under the name Carica papaya (papaya). Its description in RNAcentral is "long non-coding RNA (CPAP_LNC012162)". Lineage: Eukaryota; Viridiplantae; Streptophyta; Magnoliopsida; Brassicales; Caricaceae. The record is from RNAcentral.
UUAGCUUAAAUUUAAAAAUAGUUAAUUAUUUAAAAUAAGAAUGCACAAUAAAUUAUGAGUAGAAUGAGACAAAAAUUGAAUAGGAAGGAAAUUAAAGUAUCAUCAUAAAGAAAAGGAUUUGUUGUUAAAUUGUGUCUGAUGGGAAUUAAUAAUUAUAAUGAUUGCUUGUUUAAAGGGGGAGGGUUGAUCCAAACCACCCAUUAAUUCACGCU